AGCAGCCGCGGUAAUUCCAGCUCCAAUAGCGUAUAUUAAAGUUGUUGCAGUUAAAAAGCUCGUAGUUGAAUUUCGGGAUUGACGUGAUGGUCAUGCCUUAAGGGGUAUGAACUGUUACAGUUGAUUUCUCACCUUCUGGAGAAACUUGAUGUCCUUUAUUUGGGUGUCUUGCGGAUCCAGGACCUUUACCUUGAAAAAAUUAGAGUGUUUAAAGCAGGCAUUUUUGCUCGAAUACAUUAGCAUGGAAUAAUAGAAUAGGACGGCAUGGUUCUAUUUUGUUGGUUUCUAGGAUCACCGUAAUGAUUAAUAGGGAUAGUUGGGGGCAUUAGUAUUCAAUUGUCAGAGGUGAAAUUCUUGGAUUUAUUGAAGACUAACUACUGCGAAAGCAUUUGCCAAGGAUGUUUUCAUUAAUCAAGAACGAAAGUUAGGGGAUCGAAGACGAUCAGAUACCGUCGUAGUCUUAACCAUAAACUAUGCCGACUAGGAAUCAGACGAUGUUAAUUUUUUAAU
This 510-nucleotide ribosomal RNA is filed under the name uncultured Entrophospora. RNAcentral describes it as "SSU rRNA". It matches the Rfam family "Eukaryotic small subunit ribosomal RNA", at positions 569 to 1075 of the family's 1831-position model. The record is from RNAcentral. Lineage: Eukaryota; Fungi; Glomeromycota; Glomeromycetes; Entrophosporales; Entrophosporaceae.